Molecule: ribosomal RNA, 116 nt
Filed under: Mustela putorius furo (domestic ferret)
Lineage: Eukaryota; Metazoa; Chordata; Mammalia; Carnivora; Mustelidae
Source: RNAcentral
GUCUACGGCCAUACCACCCUGAACGCGCCCGAUCUCGUCUGAUCUCGGAAGCUAAGCAGGGUCGGGCCUGGUUAGUACUUGGAUGGGAGAAAAAGAAGUCCAGGGGCGCCUGGAUG